This 409-nucleotide ribosomal RNA is filed under the name bacterium. RNAcentral describes it as "partial 16S ribosomal RNA". It matches the Rfam family "Bacterial small subunit ribosomal RNA", at positions 355 to 776 of the family's 1533-position model. The record is from RNAcentral.
UGGGGAAUAUUGCACAAUGGGCGAAAGCCUGAUGCAGCGACGCCGCGUGAGGGAUGACGGCCUUCGGGUUGUAAACCUCUUUCAGCAGGGACGAAGCGCAAGUGACGGUACCUGCAGAAGAAGCACCGGCUAACUACGUGCCAGCAGCCGCGGUAAUACGUAGGGUGCAAGCGUUGUCCGGAAUUACUGGGCGUAAAGAGUUCGUAGGCGGUUUGUCGCGUCGUUGGUGAAAACCAGCAGCUCAACUGCUGGCUUGCAGGCGAUACGGGCAGGCUUGAGUACUGCAGGGGAGACUGGAAUUCCUGGUGUAGCGGUGAAAUGCGCAGAUAUCAGGAGGGACGCCGGUGGCGAAGGCGGGUCUCUGGGCAGUAACUGACGCUGAGGAACGAAAGCGUGGGUAGCGAGCAGG